UCGCAACGUAGUUCGAUAGUUCGUGGUCAUGCUAAAAUGUCUGGUUUUCCGUUGUUCUGUUUGUGUUCUUUUUCUCUCGUUCAUGUUUAUGGGUGGCUGCCAUGCCGGUCCAAUUGCGAUUCCUCAACCAACCGCCAAUUCAGGGUCCCUUGAAGGGUCAUCCAACAGCCGCGGACAACAAGCCGACAUGAAUGAGGGAUUCGAGGAGUCACCAUACAGAAGCCUGCGAAAUCGAUCAGCGGCUGCGCGAACGAGGUUCUCACCGACAGUCAGCACGUCAAAGAUAAGUCCAUCCGAAUCCUCACCGACACCCAGCAUCUCGACCAUGGCGAAGAACUCCGUCAUGAGCGUCGUUAGUUCGUUGGACGAAGUGGCCGGGAAAGCCGUGAGCGCGGUGGGUCUCCUCCUGGGCUUCCUCAACGGAUUCACCACGCAGUUAGGCACGAGCGCGUUCAACUCGAUGGUGCGGGUCCACAACGCGAACGUGGACAAUCUCCAUCGUCUGCGACACCUGGCGGGGAACGUGGGGAGCUCGGCCGUGGACCUGGGAGCCUCGGCCGUUGCCGAGACGGCCAGCGUGGUGGGCGCCGUGUGUCGGGAGAACGAGCGGGUCCUGAGCCGCGUGCCUGGGGUUCGACGUCUCGUGGACCUGAAGAGCGUGGCCGGCCUGGCCGCGGCGGGCGGGCUCGCGUCGGCCGCCGGCGCCGUCAAGAAGAUCGGGGGCCUGGCCGUCAGCGCCGUGGCGUUGGAGAAGGACGACCGGGUGGCGGACGCCGAGGGGGUCCUGCAGAAGAUCGGGGGGUUCUUGAAGAAGAUCGAGGGGCUCUCCGGCUCGGAUGUCGUGACGGUCGGCCUCGCGGUGGGGACUAGUGACGGUCCAGCGGGUGCCCUGAACAAUAUCGUGGGGGCGACGAACCCUGAGUCCUCGUUCAGGAUCGGCCAGACCAUCGGUCGCCUCGCGUAGGAGGUUGCAAUCAAGGUAUGUGAAUCGAAGGUUUGCUCAUCCCGACCCUAUCGGCUCCCGCCGCUAGUUGUGACGCGAAGUUUACAUUUCAACAGUUUUGCAGUUCUGGCCGAAAACAAAUUGGACUGCCUGCUGUUGAUAAAAAUGAAAAAGCAGCCAAAGUACUAAAAGCAAAUGAAUGUUCAUUUUUGAGGAAUUCGCUUGCGUUGAAUUUGUUCGUUUUGGUCAACAGCAGACGGUUAUGUUCGUUUUCGGCCAAUACUGCAAAAUUGUUGAAAUUCAAACUUCUCGCCACAGCUCCAGUGGCGGCAGCCGAUAGCCGAGUUCUGGCCGGAAGGGUCGGGAAGAGCAUACCUUCGUUUCACUUCCCUUGGGUGGCAACGGGUCAGCUGCGCUGGUCGCAGAAUCGUGUUUUGAUGCCAGAUCCUUGUAGGUUAGCCAAAAAUAAUAAGAUCCGUCCAAUUAGCAAAUGUCCUCGUUAAAUAUUAAAAGGUCUUGAUACACGAUCAACUUACGAACCAAUUCUGAUCAAAGGAGUCCAGUUGAUGACUGAUGGUCACCAUGCAACAGUCCUCUCUGGUCAAAAUUGGACGGGCCGUCUUUUGAUCAGAACGGAGUGCCAUACCAUUCAUCAUUUCCGGCCGCACGAAACAUUUUAAAACUAAACAAAGUAAUGAUUUUAAGACUGAUGACUCCCGACACUUAAAUGGUAAUUGGUUCGGGAAUUUGAUCGUGUAUCGAGACCUUGUCAAGGUAUCGCGCAUUGAAAAUUUGGUUUAUGACGUCAUCCACCGCGGUCGUUGUAUACUAUGGUUUUUUCCACCCUGGUUUCAUCAAAAAGUGAUAAGCACGUUAGCACUGAUUCAUUGAUGUAAAGCACGAUUUGUAAUUUGUAAAUACAUAUAAAGCACCAUGGUAUGUGCAACCAUGGUGGAUGCUGUUAUAAACCGAGUUUUUCAAAGCGUGAUAUCUCUGUUAAUAUGAAGUUUAGGAAGUUGUUGUUUGGACACGUCAUUCUUAUUUUAAACUAUCCACAAUAAUCCAGCAUCAAAACACGAUUCUAUGUCCAGUGCAACGACUUACUACGGACUGGUAGAUUCUAUCAUAUUAUCCUGAGUUUUUGCCAUGACAUUCAGAUGAUAUUAUUCGAAGGUGAUCAGUUGCCUUCACAUUCUACAACUUUUUUAUUUUUAUUAAACGUUUAAGUAUCGUAAUUAAACAAGGUGGUAUAAUGGUGCAGCGUCCACAUUAUUUGGCAGGGAGAGCAAGGCCUAAAAUGUCCAUUAGAGUCUAAGAAUGUGUGCUCUGAUGAGUUCUAAUUUUACCACCUUGCAUAGUACAUAUAGUUCGGCGGGCCGAUUAUUGAAAUUUAAACCAGCCCGAUAAGACAUCGAAUUGCGAUAUAUUGCAUGGUUGAGAUAGGGCAAUGUCUUGUCGUGUCGGGCUGACAUAUUUUCAAUAAUCGGGCCGCAGGCCACUUUUUCGUGUUCGUAUAAUUAAAUCUAUGCAUACACAUGUUAAGUGUUUAAACAUCAUCUUGUUACGUAUACAGUUCGGGCCACACUUUCAGUGUUCUUUUUGUUUUCGUAGAAUUAAAUCAAUACAACCAAUAUGUAGUGUCGGAAUUAUUGUACAAGAGAAACAGACAGGUGACCUGCCCAGUGAAAUGAACUCCAGCUUUCACAUAUCCCUAUAGUUUAUUUUGUAUUUGAAAUAACUGCAAGAAACAGUCACAAGUGAAUAUAAAGAGCUAUUAAACAGGCAAAGGCAGCUUUGUUUUGACAAGCAAAAUCUGCUAACUGAUCCAAACGUUUAAAGUAAUGCAUUUAACAUUUUCAUGCGGCAUGUCUAACUGCUUUUCAGGCUGCCUGCUGUGCAGCAUGAAGCGCCGCCGCUAGAGAUGGGCAAAUAGAGCACUCGAUACGGAAAUACGUUUUUCAAUUUAUGGUCAUGUUUCGGUUUGGAUUUUUGUUCCAAUCAUCGAAGGGGGAAAACUUAUGAAAGGGUCACCCUCAGGAGGAGGCAGAGAGGAGAGGGUACCCCUCCCUAAAUAUAAUUUCGAAAUGGAGAUUUCUCAUUUGUGUCACGCGUAUCGAGCUUUUCUUUUGCCCAUCCUACAAGGCACUAAAAUGUCUUCCAUCCAUGGGACAACUGACAUAGAACUAUCUCUACCGCAAGGGACAUAUAAACAACGAGUUUUCUUCCUUUGGGUUUAGAAUUCAUUUCUACCUUAGUUUCAUAAAGUACAUAAAACAGCAUUCUUCAUUCUGCUCAUUCCAGACUUUCCACUUGAUCGGGUAGUUGCCCUGAAACAGAAAUACAUAGUGCUUCAGUAAAUCCACCUUCUCUCGACUUCCGGCGCGUGGAGAGCGCGCGCUUUUACCCUUUGCACUAUUUGCGAGAUUCUCUCAAUAUUGAGCUCGCGGAACAUGAGCGACUAUUUGUCUACGUUAUGCGUAGAGGAACUACUAUUUUAGUUCAUUCAUGGAAGCGCCUUUCUGCAUAGGGGAUCUAAUGGCACUUACGUUGUUUCUAAAAACUACUAUCUCUGGCUCACUCAUGGAAGCACCUUUUUAAUGGCACUUUCGUUGCUCCUCAAGUGAACAAGAAAUAGUAGUCCCGAUUUGCAAAGGAGGGGCCAAUUAUUCUUGUCACGCGCGACUGGUUGAAACAUAUUUCGACGGAAGAAGAAAGUAAUCUCUGCGAUCGUCUUUGAAUUUAGCAAAUUUUAGCCCGGCAGAUUUCUCGCUCAACUUGAACUGCAAAAUAAUUAAACUCUCAAACUUGUAUUUCUCGGAAUAGCUUGAACUUUCUUUCCGCCAUAAGGAUCCAUGCAAUUCCGAAACUUCAAACACGUAUUUCAUGAAAUAGCAAAAACUCCACUUAUGUGCCUCGUCCUUCCAAGCCCCUCCAUUCUAGGCCCUGCAGCUUCAAAUGUUCGUGUGUUUC
RNAcentral lists this long non-coding RNA (3913 nucleotides) under Bemisia tabaci. RNAcentral's name for it is "lncRNA ENSSSA2NGG005857". The record is from RNAcentral. Lineage: Eukaryota; Metazoa; Arthropoda; Insecta; Hemiptera; Aleyrodidae.